UUCUAAGAGGUGGAUCAAACAAGAUAUAGCUGCGAUUUAUGUCAAAGAGUGUUCUGCCUGUUUUCCUCUAGGAGUUUUAUCGUAUCUGACCUUAUGUUUAGGUCUUUAAUCCACUUUCAGUUUAUUUUUGUUUAUGGUGUUGGAGAAUGUUCCAGUUUCAUUCUUUUAAAUGUAACUGUCCAGUUUUCCCAGCAUCACUUAUUGAAGAAAUAAUCUUUAUUCCACUGUAUGUUCUUGCCUUCUUUGUCAUAGAUUAGUUGACCAAAGGUGCAUGGGUUUAUUUCUGGGCUUUCUAUCCUGUGCCACAGAUCUAUAUUUCUAUUUUUGUUUCAGUGCCAUACUGUUUUGAUUAUUGUAGCUUCGUAGUAUAGACUGAAGUCACGGAGUCUGAUUCUUGCAAUUCCAUUUUUACCUUUUUAAUACUGCUUUGGCUAUUUGGAACCUUUUGUGUUUCCAUAAAAAUUUUAAAAUAUUUUUUCUAGUUCUGUGAAGAAUGUCAUCAGUAACUUGAUAGGGAUUACACUGACUCUGUAGAUUGCCUUGGGUACUACAGUCAUUUUGACAAUAUUGAUUCUUCCAAUCCAAGAGAUGGUCACUCUUUCCAUCUGUUUGUGUCAUCUUUGAUUUCUUUCAUCAGCAUCUUAUAGUUUUCAGAGAACAGGUCUUUUGUCUCUUUGGAUAGGUUUAUUGCUAGAUGUUUUAUUCUUUUUGAAGCAAAAUUAAGUCUUUCUCACUCUGACUUUGCCAAAGCCUCUUUGGAGAAUAAAGAGCGAUUCUGUGUAACAAGGAACAACACCUUAAAACCAGUCAUUCAAUAAGCCAUUCAGAGUUAAUACUCUAGUGCUUGCCUAUUUCCCUCAUUGCCUCUCUUUCUCUCCCUCUCUCUGCAAAAAGGAGCAUGACAUUUAUGCAAGUUGCAGAAUGACUUGUACAUCUGGGGCCUGAAGGCACACCUGGAAAGGACCCAUUUCUGUAAAUGCAUCUCUGCUUUUUUUAUGAAGAAGCCCAGUCCUGAAGCUCCCAAGAAUGGCUCCCAGAGGACCAGGCCCUGGGGCUGGUUCUGGGCUCAUCUCGGUGGACAUAACAUGUACAUUUAUCAGUUUAGGAGCCUUACAGAAAUCUCUAGUGAAAAUCAAGGGCACUGUAACUUCUGCACUUCUGAGGAAUCAGGUCUAUCUUUUUAUGUGACCUAGUCCCUCACUUUCAGACCAGACAAAGACCAGACCCCUUAAUAUGCUCACCUAAACAAAAGUAACCAUCCCAACAUGAGAUUCAUUACCAUGUUUUCAAGAUUCUAAGAUGGCCUAUCUGUAAGACAUAUCAUUGAUUUGAUAGCACUUUUCUGGAAAAGAAACAACACAAAAAUAAAUGGACGCAUCAAUUGUCAGGGGUAACAUGGUUUUAGAACUGUUGAAAUGUAGAAAAAUGUGCAAUUUAGAAUCAGAAAAAUCUAGUCAUAUUAACUAUAGGGCACCUGUUGCAACAGAAAUGCUACAACUGCCAAUAGAUUAAAAAGUGAGCAGGAGCUUUAGGAGUCCCAGUCCCCCUACCCCCAACCUUUUCUAUCUUUAGUCUGUGGUCCUCAGGAACCUUGCACUUGGCCUCCAGAGAGCUAGUGCUUAACCAGUGAAGUCACAUACACAUCUGUAGUAUCUGUCCCUUGUGACUCCAACCUCUCUCUAGCAACAGAUUUUGUAUUUUCAUAGAAAAUCAGACUGCCACUGUAAGUGAGCCCUUCCCCUUUAUUUCACCUUAUAUUUAUGUGGUGAGUUAUUAAGACACACUGAAUAUCAGACCACAGGAAAUUCUAAACUGAUGGCUGCUUUGCAAACCUCAUUGACAUUUUGCUGAUAAAAACUAGGAGGACAAAGGGGUUUGAUAUUUACUACAUGAAAAUCUAGAUGGGAAUUAUGUGCUUCUUAUUAAUCUCUUUGGCUCCCAAACCACAUUUAUUUCUUUGGUUACAAAGACCACCUUACCAGAAUAAAUAACAAAGUGGAUAUAGUGGCUUGUUAAUUCCAAAGAACAAAUGUCAAGAGUGUGCUCAUGAUGGAAGGUGUUUUAAAGUAACCUUGUGGGCCAUUAACCUACCCACUUUGGGUGUCCAUAGUCAAAGAGAGUGGAAAGGAGAAGAGUUGAUGGGCCCACAAAGUAUACAAAUGAGAGAACUAAAUAACAGACAACUUUUGGUGUGCUGGAAAAAUAUUCUUUGUCUUUCUCUUCUCUGUCUUGUUGCAUCUACAGAGGUAGAUCCAGUCUCUAUGAUAGUUGUCCAUAAUCCCAACGUCCAUGAGCAUUACUUGAUUAGAGAGAGCUAAUCACCUGACUAAACUGGGCCAAUCAUAUUCCCUCUAACAGAAUUCAGAAUCCAACCAAGCAGUGACCUUUCAGUCUCUAUCUGUGGUUGGCUCAGAGAACAAGUUAUGGAGUCAGACCCCUGGGGUCAACUCCACCACUUCCUAGCUGCCUUUAGGCAAGUUACUUAACCACUGGACCCCUUGGUUGCCUCCCUUGAAAACUAAGGGCAGCAAUAGAGCCCAGGUUUUCUAAGAUGCUUAGCACAUUGUCUUUGGCAUGUAAAAAGUGCUCUGUAAAUACUAACAUUAUUGUUGUGCUAGUUUUCUGUGACUGUUAUAACCACUUAUCAUAAACUUGGGAGCUUAAAACAACACAAUUUUACUAUCUUCUCAUUCUGUAACUUAAGGAUCCAACACAGGUCCCACCAUUCAAUUUUUUUUUGCUUUUUAGGACCACCCCCAUGGCAUAUGGAGGUUCCCAGGCUAAGAGUUGAAUCAGAGCUGUAGCCACUGGCCUACACCACAGCUCACAGCAAUGCUGGAUCCAUAAGCCACUGAGCAAGGCCGGGACUGAACCUGCGUCCUCAUGGAUGCUAGUCAGAUUCAUUUCUGCUGAGCCUUGAUGAGAACUCCCUCAUUAGAUUCUGGAGAUGAAGACUUAGACAUCUUUGGGUGGACAUUAUUCUGCCUACUGCAAUUGUCAUGAAAAAAAUAAUGGGAGCUCCUGGGAAGCAAUAGUACAGGGUAAAUAUGGUGAAAAAUUAGACAGCAGUUCUGUAGGACAGACAGGCCAGUCAUGCAAAGUUCUAGGGCUGUCCUAAUUAAUUUCCCAGUCUAGUGGUCCUCAAGGCCCAUCUGUAUUGCUUCAUAUGGCUUCCCUGAGACGUCUCAUGAUCACUACAACAAAGUAUCCCCUCCUCCCCCUAUUUUUUCUCAAGAAAGCUUAAGUGAGUUGCUAAUAAUGUUGACUCUUGAACAACUUCUUUCCAACUGUAAAUACUAGAGUACUACAACACCCCCGAGUGGUUGAAUCCACAGAUGCAGAACUGCAGAUAUAGAAGGCCGUGGAUAGGAGUAUUUAUCUUUGGGCUACUCAUCUCCAAAGAUAAAUUAUACACAGGUUUUCAUGAGAUAGAGGGUCAGUGCCCCUAACUCUCACAAUGUUCAAGCACCAACUGUAUUUACAACUGGAAACCUGACAAGGUGUAAAUGUUCUCAACAAUAGUGUUCUAGACCACAGCUACUCGGCAAGGACUUGUGUCACAGAGACCACUGAUAUAAGGAUAUACCUGACUUUUGCCUUUGUACCAGGACAACAGUGGGAUGAUCUGGAUGAUUAAUCUCAUCCAAAUGAUACUUUGUUUAAUUGUUAAUCCAUCAUGUUUUUCUAAAAAACUUUCCUAUGGAUUGGUAUUGAUGCUUGUGUUUCCUUGGAUGGAACAGCUACUGCAGUAAAAGCCUCCCAAGAUGUGUACUGAUGCUCUUCUCCUAUUGAUCUAAUUAAAGAUCAUGAUGCCUAAUAUCAUUAGCUCAGCUGGCCUUUCUGUCUGGAUAGUUCUUACACUUUUAGACAUGUAACUACCAGAGUUAAAUUACUCUGGAUAAUGAGUUGCACUUCUGAAGGAAAUAGCUUUAAGGGUACAAAUAUGAGACUCAACUAAGACUUUAAUAAUACGAUUUCUUCCUUUAUUUUUAGCAAUUGAUGCUUAUUUUCCUACUAGACUUUCUCCACCUAAAGGCCAGACACCCAGUGGCAUUUUGUAGACUUCUCUACUCAACCAACUGCCCAAAGCCUGGGUUAUGGGAGCUGGUGACUUAAUACCUUAGUUCAGAUGAUGAUCAGCAUUUUUUUUUUUAUGGUACAAAAGAGAGAAAGGGGAAAUGGGAAAAUGUAAAUGUCUUAAGAAAGCAAAAAUAUGUAAGACCUAGAUCACAUGUUAAGGGAUUGCCUUUGGGAAGAGAAAAAUGAGAUCAGCAGAGCUAUUGGGAGGUUUCCAUAUUUGGUGAUAGCAAGAUUAGGCAGUUCUCAUUGGAAGUUUUCAAGUUCCUCAACUGACUAUGAGGUAAGGUCAUAGGUGAAAGGUGAGUGGGUUAACAACAACAACAGCAACACUAUUAACAAUAGCCAACAAUCAUUGAGUCCUU
RNAcentral lists this long non-coding RNA (4442 nucleotides) under Sus scrofa (pig). Its description in RNAcentral is "lncRNA (ENSSSCG00060073106.1)". The record is from RNAcentral. Lineage: Eukaryota; Metazoa; Chordata; Mammalia; Artiodactyla; Suidae.